AAACCGCCCCUUAAGUUUUGCAACUGUGCCAGUUUUGGUCCCCAAGGUCAAUUUUUGGAAGAAAAAAAAAUAACACGUGGACUUAGGGUGCCACAUCAACGUAGACCGAGUCAAAAUUGACAUUGGGGACCAAAACUGCCACAGAUGCAAAACUUAGGGGGCGGUUU
This 167-nucleotide microRNA precursor is filed under the name Medicago truncatula (barrel medic). RNAcentral's name for it is "MIR2619 microRNA precursor family". It matches the Rfam family "MIR2619 microRNA precursor family". The record is from Rfam by way of RNAcentral. Lineage: Eukaryota; Viridiplantae; Streptophyta; Magnoliopsida; Fabales; Fabaceae.